Molecule: long non-coding RNA, 630 nt
Organism: Ricinus communis (castor bean)
Lineage: Eukaryota; Viridiplantae; Streptophyta; Magnoliopsida; Malpighiales; Euphorbiaceae
Exons: 3
Source: RefSeq, a predicted model, not a curated record
CACACAUUAUUAUCUUAUUUACGCACAUAUCUGAAUUCACAAGAGAAAAAAAGAUACUAGGACCGAUAGGAAAAUAUGUCAAUUGUCAUAUUUAAUUUCAUGUGAAUUUGUACCUAGUAUAGACUCCAACUUCAAACCCCUGUUCAAACAAACUUCAAAGGCUGGAGCAGACGGCUAAGAAGAGGGCAGCAACGACUGAGAAGACGGAUGAGCGGCUGAGAAGAGGGCAGCAGCGACAACGACAGCAUCAAAGUUGGAGGCGACUGCAACUAGGGGACGGCUGUAGCAAGGGUGAUGGCAAGUGAAAUUUGAAGGUUUAUAAUCCAUUUCAGAUCUAUUCUUCAUCUUCAAAUGCUUUAGAGGUUUAGAAUGCUUUAAACCAAUUUGGAAGAGGUGACACUCAAGUAAAUACAAGCUAAGAAAAAGGAGCAAUAAAGGAUUAGAAAAAUUAUAAUUGGUCUUGAAGAAACAUUUGCAUCAGUCGCACUAGCAUUAUGUCAGGUGGGUCAGCAGGAGGUCGCCCUCAGUUUUUCUUAAACAUGACAUAUCUAGUGAAUUUUAUUAUCAUGUAUAAGACUAGUGUAUUUUAUAUGUAUAUAAAAAAAAGUGAACUAUUUGAUGUUGUGAGCU